UGAGGCACGAAAGCGUGGGGAGCAAACAGGAUUAGAUACCCUGGUAGUCCACGCAGUAAACGAUGAUAACUCGUUGUCGGCGAUACACAGUCGGUGACUAAGCGAAAGCGAUAAGUUAUCCACCUGGGGAGUACGUUCGCAAGAAUGAAACUCAAAGGAAUUGACGGGGGCCCGCACAAGCGGAGGACAUGUGGUUUAAUUCGAUGAUACGCGAGGAACCUUACCCGGGCUUGAAAGUUAGCGACGAUUCUUGAAAGAGGAUUUCCCUUCGGGGCGCGAAACUAGGUGCUGCAUGGUUGUCGUCAGCUCGUGCCGUGAGGUGUCGGGUUAAGUCCCAUAACGAGCGCAACCCCUACCGUUAGUUGCCAUCAGGUGAAGCUGGGCACUCUGGCGGGACUGCCGGUGUAAGCCGAGAGGAAGGUGGGGAUGACGUCAAAUCAGCACGGCCCUUACGUCCGGGGGUACACACGUGUUACAAUGGUAGGUACAGAGGGCAGCUACCCAGCGAUGGGAUGCGAAUCUCGAAAGCCUAUCUCAGUUCGGAUUGGAGGCUGAAACCCGCCUCCAUGAAGUUGGAUUCGCUAGUAAUCGCGCAUCAGCCAUGGCGCGGUGAAUAAAAAGCCGGGCCUUGCACA
Molecule: ribosomal RNA, 635 nt
Filed under: uncultured bacterium
Lineage: Bacteria
Description: bacterial SSU rRNA
Rfam family: Bacterial small subunit ribosomal RNA
Source: RNAcentral